UACGUAGGGGGCAAGCGUUGUCCGGAAUUAUUGGGCGUAAAGCGCGCGCAGGCGGUUUGGAAAGUCUGGUGUUUAAGGCUGAGGCUCAACCUCAGUUCGCACUGGAAACUGUCAGACUUGAGUGCAGAAGAGGAAAGUGGAAUUCCACGUGUAGCGGUGAAAUGCGUAGAGAUGUGGAGGAACACCAGUGGCGAAGGCGACUUUCUGGGCUGUAACUGACGCUGAGGCGCGAAAGCGUGGGGAGCAAACAGG
Molecule: ribosomal RNA, 252 nt
Filed under: uncultured bacterium
Lineage: Bacteria
Also listed under: 1 other name
Description: partial 16S ribosomal RNA
Rfam family: Bacterial small subunit ribosomal RNA
Source: RNAcentral